ACAGCAGUAGCCACGGGAAUACAGAGGGUGCGAGCGUUAAUCGGAUUUACUGGGCGUAAAGCGUGCGUAGGCGGCUUUUUAAGUCGGAUGUGAAAUCCCUGAGCUUAACUUAGGAAUUGCAUUCGAUACUGGGAAGCUAGAGUAUGGGAGAGGAUGGUAGAAUUCCAGGUGUAGCGGUGAAAUGCGUAGAGAUCUGGAGGAAUACCGGUGGCGAAGGCGGCCCCCUGGACAAAGACUGACGCUCAGGUGCGAAAGCGUGGGGAGCAAACAGGAUUAGAUACCCGCGUAGUCCCUGUCUCUUAUAC
This 305-nucleotide ribosomal RNA is filed under the name uncultured bacterium. RNAcentral's name for it is "partial 16S ribosomal RNA". It matches the Rfam family "Bacterial small subunit ribosomal RNA", at positions 505 to 807 of the family's 1533-position model. The record is from RNAcentral.